RNAcentral lists this ribosomal RNA (812 nucleotides) under uncultured archaeon. RNAcentral's name for it is "bacterial SSU rRNA". It matches the Rfam family "Archaeal small subunit ribosomal RNA", at positions 49 to 869 of the family's 1478-position model. The record is from RNAcentral.
CCAUGCGAGUCGACAUAGCAAUAUGUGGCAUACGGCUCAGUAACACGUAGUCAACAUGCCCAGGGGACGUGGAUAACCUCGGGAAACUGAGGAUAAACCGCGAUAGGUCAUCACUUCUGGAAUGGGUAAUGACUUAAACCUAUAUGGCCCCUGGAUUGGACUGCGGCCGAUCAGGCUGUUGGUGAGGUAAUGGCCCACCAAACCUGUAACCGGUACGGGCUCUGAGAGGAGGAGCCCGGAGAUGGGCACUGAGACAAGGGCCCAGGCCCUAUGGGGCGCAGCAGGCGCGAAACCUCUGCAAUAGGCGAAAGCUUGACAGGGUUACUCUGAGUGAUUUCCGUUAAGGAGAUCUUUUGGCACCUCUAAAAAUGGUGCAGAAUAAGGGGUGGGCAAGUCUGGUGUCAGCCGCCGCGGUAAUACCAGCACCCCGAGUGGUCGGGACGUUUAUUGGGCCUAAAGCAUCCGUAGCCGGUUCUACAAGUCUUCCGUUAAAUCCACCUGCUUAACAGAUGGGCUGCGGAAGAUACUAUAGAGCUAGGAGGCGGGAGAGGCAAGCGGUACUCGAUGGGUAGGGGUAAAAUCCGUUGAUCCAUUGAAGACCACCAGUGGCGAAGGCGGCUUGCCAGAACGCGCUCGACGGUGAGGGAUGAAAGCUGGGGGAGCAAACCGGAUUAGAUACCCGGGUAGUCCCAGCUGUAAACGAUGCAGACUCGGUGAUGAAUUGGCUUAUUGCUAAUUCAGUGCCGCAGGGAAGCCGUUAAGUUUGCCGCCUGGGGAGUACGGUCGCAAGACUGAAACUUAAAGGAAUUGGC